Bos taurus (domestic cattle) is the source of this 652-nucleotide long non-coding RNA. NCBI's taxonomy places the organism in Eukaryota, Metazoa, Chordata, Mammalia, Artiodactyla, Bovidae. The record is from Ensembl.
GCACGCAGAUUUGGGGGUCAAGCACAGAUGCCCUCCACAGAAGCACAGGGCCAGGGCCUGCUGAGGGUUGUAGUGCCCGAGAGCCUCCUUGGCCUCUCAAACAUCAAAGUGCCCAGGAAUCAAUACCUGUGCUCCGCCAGUAUGUCUACUGAACCAGAGCCAAUAGCAUCACCUAGAUCAUCAACAUUCAUCUUCUGGAUGACGUGUGCCAGUCAACCAUUUUCCUGUUGACCAAAAAAGAGGCUUCCAGCUCCCUGGAGGGGCAGGAACACGCAGAAACAAGACCAUAAAAGUGCAUUCCAAGCUGGAGUGAAGGGCCAUGAGGUGUCGAGGCAGGGGGAGUUUGUGGUUUCCCAGGUGGCUCUGUGGUCGAGAAUCUACCUGCCAAUGCAGGGGACACAGGUUUUAUCCCUGGGUUAAGAAGAUCCUCUGGAAGAUGAAAUGGCAACCCACUCCAGUAUUCUUGCCUGAAAAAUCCCAUGGACAGAGUUGCCUGGUGGACUGCAGUCCAUGGGGUUGCAAAGAGUCCAGCACAACUGAGUGACUGAACAUGCAUGCAUGCAUGCCCUCAUAAGAGACCCUACAGCUGGAUACAAGAAGUCUGUGACCCAGAAGAGGGCCUUCCUGAUCUUGGACUUUCAGCUUCCAGAAC